Molecule: ribosomal RNA, 448 nt
Filed under: uncultured bacterium
Lineage: Bacteria
Description: bacterial SSU rRNA
Rfam family: Bacterial small subunit ribosomal RNA
Source: RNAcentral
CACCAGACUCCUACGGGAGGCAGCAGUGGGGAAUAUUGCACAAUGGGGGGAACCCUGAUGCAGCGACGCCGCGUGAGUGAAGAAGUAUUUCGGUAUGUAAAGCUCUGUCAGCAGGGAAGAAGAAAGACGGUACCUGACCAAGAAGCCCCGGCUAACUACGUGCCAGCAGCCGCGGUAAUACGUAGGGGGCAAGCGUUAUCCGGAUUCACUGGGUGUAAAGGGAGCGUAGACGGCGGCGCAAGUCUGGAGUGAAAGCCCGGGGCCCAACCCCGGGACUGCUCUGGAAACUGCGGCGCUGGAGUACGGGAGGGGCAGGCGGAAUUCCUGGUGUAGCGGUGAAAUGCGUAGAUAUCAGGAGGAACACCGGCGGCGAAGGCGGCCUGCUGGACCGUGACUGACGUUGAGGCUCGAGAGCGUGGGGAGCAAACAGGAUUAGAUACCCCAGUAC